UGGGGAAUUUUCCGCAAUGGGCGAAAGCCUGACGGAGCAAUGCCGCGUGGAGGUGGAAGGCCUACGGGUCGUCAACUUCUUUUCUCGGAGAAGAAACAAUGACGGUAUCUGAGGAAUAAGCAUCGGCUAACACUGUGCCAA
This 141-nucleotide ribosomal RNA is filed under the name uncultured bacterium. RNAcentral's name for it is "partial 16S rRNA". It matches the Rfam family "Bacterial small subunit ribosomal RNA", at positions 355 to 511 of the family's 1533-position model. The record is from RNAcentral.